This is a long non-coding RNA of Rhineura floridana, 2358 nucleotides long. RefSeq lists it as uncharacterized. Lineage: Eukaryota; Metazoa; Chordata; Lepidosauria; Squamata; Rhineuridae. The record is from RefSeq and is a predicted model, not a curated record. The transcript has 3 exons.
CCGACGCGGCCCAGUGAGCCGAGCCGGCGGCGAACAGCGGGGCGUUUGGAGUUGGAACGCGGCGUGACAAUAACAGGCGCACGCGGAAAACCUGGUGGGAAAAGCGAGUGGAUGCCUCCGACCACCUGAGUUACCGUUCAGGGGGCGUUGAAUGAGAAGCACCUCAGCGUUCCGAAGGGGGGGCGCUACAUGUAACAAAAGCGGUGCUCUUUCUUCGUUUCGAGGCUGCUAAUCGCUCUGUCAAUCUAGCACCGAAUUGACCAAUCAAGCGAAAGAUUUGGGAUUAAAUUAACGCGGGCAGAAAAGAAGUGCAACGUGAUUGGUUAUUUACCGGGAGGGAGGGAGAAAGAAGGGGGUCUGUUCCACCUACUCGAGUUGAGCUUUUGGCUGACCUCACGUUCUGCUGGCACAGCAGCUCCCAAACUGCAAAUGGAGAUGCCGGUUCCUCCUCCACCAGCACCCCUUAUGUCAGCUUCCCAUGAGUUGGAUUGCUCUGCCCGUUGCAAAUUGUGGUGUGGCUCACAAGAACUGUUAUAUGCAAAACACAUUUCAGGCAGCCCUCCAACAAGUGCACAAGCAAGGAUGUUUUCCACUCCCGGUGCAAUUCAGAAGAGACUGAGAGCCAGACUAGCAACAGCCAUGCCCAGUGUGACUCCAGCUUGUCCUUUCUGGCAAUCCCACUUUGAUGCUGUAGCCAGGCUCUUAUGCCACUGCAAAUGGUUUGAGAAAAAGAUAGCAGGUGGUGAUGUCACCAAACAUGGGAAUGCCAGGAUGGGGAAUGCAGCGGUGUUCCUUUGCUGUCAUGCAGUUUUCACAGGCACAAGAGCCAUGAUGGAACAAGGAGUUUGACAACCCUAUUAAUAGGAAUUGCUUUCAGAACUCCAUCAUUGAGGCUAGCCAACAAAAGUUGCCUGUUUUACAAUUCUGUCACUUCAGCUACCUUCAGUAUGGCUCUUAUUGAGAAAGAUCCGACGGCACCACACCAAAGUUCUCACUCCCCAUAUUCUGUACACAUCAGCUCCUGCAAGACUCCGAAUAGCUCUCCAACAUCGUGGUUACUGCCGGUGUGAUAAGCUGGGCUCCCAGAAGAAGUAGUAAUGGCCACCAACUUGGAUAACUUGAAGAAAGUGUUAGACAAAUUCACGGAAGAUAAGGCUAUCAGUGGCUACUAGUCACAAUGGCUAUGUUCUGCUUCCACUGUCAGAGGCACCAUGCCUCUGAAUGCCAGUUGCCGGGAGUCACAAGUGCAGGGAGUGCUGUUGUGCACAGGUCCUUCUUGUGGGCUUCCCAUUGGCAUCUGGUUGGUCACUGUGCGCACAGGAUUCUGGACUGAAUGGGACAUGGGCAUGAUCCAGCAGAAUCCUCUUAUGUUUAUGUUAUGAUCAUUCUGUGUAUGGCACUGGGGGAAGGAAGAAGCAUAUCAUGGAUCAGACCACUGGGAGACUUACACAGCCCCCAUCAUGAGCUUUUCUAUCUGUUUUCAUGGCCAUGCAACCAAGAGUAUUGCUCUGUGGAACAAGAAGAUUGGGCUUUAUUCCUGUAUCUCCUCUUUCUGAAAUUGUUACUGGCCAGGGUCCCUAUGCAGGGCUUGCCUUUCUGUCUCACUGGGGAGGGAUUCAUCUCUCCCCAGCAUUUUACUUUUUGGUAUUCUUCCCCACAGAGCUGUGAGGUAUCUCACAGUCUUGCUCCCUGUGAGCUUGCAUGCCUCCUUCCCUAGGGAACUGUAGAGCUGGCUUACUUAUGAUUGGAAAGGCAUUCCUUAAGACCCUGUGUGACCCAGACCUUGGCCCAGGGGGAAAAAAAGGUUUUCUGAUGCUGUCAGGGAAUCCAAGCCCCUGCCUGAGAGGGAAGCUUGGAGCUGUAGGUAUGGAUGAUUCUGGUCUAAACUGGUGAGUCAUAGAAUUAGAUGUACUGCAGGAUGCACUCUGAACUCUCUCUGGCAGCAUACUGGUGGAAUGGGUUCCUGCUGUGCCUUCCAUAUGUGGGCUAUGUAAUAGACUGUUUUUCUCUUCUCCCCCCCCCCUUCCAAAAGAAGCCAUUCCGUUGAGAAGCAAUCUAUAUUAAUAGAACCAUGUAUAUUCUCCCUUAUUUGUUUUAUGGCUUUGUUUGCUGGGAGGAAUUUAGAUAGUAAAAUAUUUGGAAAGCAAAAGUUGUAAGGUUAUGCCUUUCCCCCCACUUAUUUUAUUUCAUAACAAAUCUAGUUAUUUUCAUCAGCCCUUCAGAGAUGAAGGUUCUUGUCUCUUUCACCCUGUAAGUAAAGCACUCUUUGGCUGCUCCUCCCCCUUUUAAAGUACACAUUAGCCCAGGGAAUCUUUGGGCUGAGCCAUACCUCCACAUAACAUCUACAUUUUGCCUAUU